This 381-nucleotide ribosomal RNA is filed under the name uncultured marine Chaetocerotaceae. Its description in RNAcentral is "SSU rRNA". It matches the Rfam family "Eukaryotic small subunit ribosomal RNA", at positions 587 to 972 of the family's 1831-position model. Lineage: Eukaryota; Bacillariophyta; Thalassiosirophyceae; Chaetocerotales; Chaetocerotaceae. The record is from RNAcentral.
AGCUCCAAUAGCGUUUAUUAAAGUUGCUGCAGUUAAAAAGCUCGUAGUUGCAUUUCCGAGGCAAGGGAUUAGUCCGACCUUUGGUGGGUAUUUAAUCCUCUUGCCUCGUCCUUGAGUGGUGCUUCUUGGUAUUAAGUUAUCGAGGAGAUAGCCGCUCAUCGUUUACUGUGAGAAAAUUAGAGUGUUCAAAGCAGGCUUAUGCCGUUGAAUAUAUUAGCAUGGAAUAAUAAGAUAGGACCUCGGUACUAUUUUGUUGGUUUGAGAACCAAGGUAAUGAUGAAUAGGGACAGUUGGGGGUAUUCGUAUUCAGUUGUCAGAGGUGAAAUUCUUAGAUUUACGGAAGACGAACUACUGCGAAAGCAUUUACCAAAGAUGUUUUCA